Molecule: ribosomal RNA, 497 nt
Filed under: uncultured bacterium
Lineage: Bacteria
Description: partial 16S ribosomal RNA
Rfam family: Bacterial small subunit ribosomal RNA
Source: RNAcentral
GAUGAACGCUGGCGGCGUGCCUAAUACAUGCAAGUCGAGCGAACAGACGAGGAGCUUGCUCCUCUGACGUUAGCGGCGGACGGGUGAGUAACACGUGGAUAACCUACCUAUAAGACUGGGAUAACUUCGGGAAACCGGAGCUAAUACCGGAUAAUAUAUUGAACCGCAUGGUUCAAUAGUGAAAGACGGUUUUGCUGUCACUUAUAGAUGGAUCCGCGCCGCAUUAUCUAGUUGGUAAGGUAACGGCUUACCAAGGCAACGAUGCGUAGCCGACCUGAGAGGGUGAUCGGCCACACUGGAACUGAGACACGGUCCAGACUCCUACGGGAGGCAGCGGUAGGGAAUCUUCCGCAAUGGGCGAAAGCCUGACGGAGCAACGCCGCGUGAGUGAUGAAGGUCUUCGGAUCGUAAAACUCUGUUAUUAGGGAAGAACAAAUGUGUAAGUAACUAUGCACGUCUUGACGGUACCUAAUCAGAAAGCCACGGCUAACUACGUG